Molecule: transfer RNA, 59 nt
Filed under: Procavia capensis (Cape rock hyrax)
Lineage: Eukaryota; Metazoa; Chordata; Mammalia; Hyracoidea; Procaviidae
Description: tRNA-Und (NNN) (tRNA-Und-NNN-1-1)
Rfam family: tRNA
About the family: Transfer RNA (tRNA) molecules are approximately 80 nucleotides in length. Their secondary structure includes four short double-helical elements and three loops (D, anti-codon, and T loops). Further hydrogen bonds mediate the characteristic L-shaped molecular structure. tRNAs have two regions of fundamental functional importance: the anti-codon, which is responsible for specific mRNA codon recognition, and the 3' end, to which the tRNAs corresponding amino acid is attached (by aminoacyl-tRNA synthetases). tRNAs cope with the degeneracy of the genetic code in two manners: having more than one tRNA (with a specific anti-codon) for a particular amino acid; and 'wobble' base-pairing, i.e. permitting non-standard base-pairing at the 3rd anti-codon position.
Source: RNAcentral
GCCCAGCUAGCUCAGUCGGUAGAGCAUCAGGGUCGUGGGUUCGAGCCCCACGUUGGGCG